Molecule: long non-coding RNA, 802 nt
Organism: Equus caballus (horse)
Lineage: Eukaryota; Metazoa; Chordata; Mammalia; Perissodactyla; Equidae
Source: Ensembl
CCUAGGGCCAUCCCAUGGCUGCACUGACUGCUCUGGACCAGCCACCCUGUGCAGCGCUGGUGUGGACAGCCCGGGAGUGACCUGCCCGGCUCCCUCACCGGGAAGUCCCUGAAAGGGAUGCACUUGGUGAUUUAUUGUUGGAUGGAAGUUUCUAUUAAACAACCCUUCCUUUCCCAGCCUAGCUCUCGGACUCACAUUUACCUCUGCUUUCUCUGAAGACGAAGUGGAAACCUCUGCCCAGCCUGGUUGGUAUAAGUGGGAGGAGUGGUCCCUGGAGGAGGAGAGACCUUGCUGCAAGGCCUGGGGACUUAGAAGAAUACAUCAGAAUUGUUAAAGUAAGACGUCUGUAUCACCAUUCGCGUGUUCAACACAAUGCUUGCAGAUGGCCCCAUCUUUCCUAUUCAGGGCAAUUUGGAGUGCAGCAAAUGUGCCACAAUUAAGAAAACUGAAAUGGAACAUAACUUCUUUAAUAUUCCUUUUUAGGCUAAGCAUCAAGCACAAGACAAGCAUCAUCAUGUGCCUGAUGGCGUGGAAGGCUCUGUGGACACAAGGGAUGCUUAGAAGAAGGAUAAAGAUCACUUUCAGAAGAGAGAAAAAGGAGUACACCAAAAAUUACCACCCAAGGUGUCGAUGUUAGUGAAGAAACGUUCUCUGUGUUCGGUGGAAGGCUAUCUUCCUUCUGUUUCACUAGUCAGAGACUGCCUGCAUGCUUAGAGCACACGUUGGAGCUUGGAAUGAGGGUCUUGUGCUGCGGACAAAGCAAAUCACCGAAGAGAAUCUUACCUUGGGCAGAAUGGCUGUG